This 492-nucleotide ribosomal RNA is filed under the name uncultured bacterium. Its description in RNAcentral is "partial 16S ribosomal RNA". It matches the Rfam family "Bacterial small subunit ribosomal RNA", at positions 355 to 865 of the family's 1533-position model. The record is from RNAcentral.
UGGGGAAUAUUGGACAAUGGGGGCAACCCUGAUCCAGCAAUGCCGCGUGUGUGAAGAAGGUCUUCGGAUUGUAAAGCACUUUCGACGGGGACGAUGAUGACGGUACCCGUAGAAGAAGCCCCGGCUAACUUCGUGCCAGCAGCCGCGGUAAUACGAAGGGGGCUAGCGUUGCUCGGAAUGACUGGGCGUAAAGGGCGUGUAGGCGGUUUACACAGUCAGAUGUGAAAUCCCCGGGCUUAACCUGGGAGCUGCAUUUGAUACGUGUAGACUAGAGUGUGAGAGAGGGUUGUGGAAUUCCCAGUGUAGAGGUGAAAUUCGUAGAUAUUGGGAAGAACACCGGUGGCGAAGGCGGCAACCUGGCUCAUGACUGACGCUGAGGCGCGAAAGCGUGGGGAGCAAACAGGUUAGAUACCCUGGUAGUCCACGCUGUAAACGAUGUGUGCUAGAUGUUGGGUAACUUUGUUAUUCAGUGUCGCAGUUAACGCGUUAAGC